RNAcentral lists this ribosomal RNA (701 nucleotides) under uncultured Acidobacteriota bacterium. RNAcentral's name for it is "bacterial SSU rRNA". It matches the Rfam family "Bacterial small subunit ribosomal RNA", at positions 8 to 691 of the family's 1533-position model. Lineage: Bacteria; Pseudomonadati; Acidobacteriota. The record is from RNAcentral.
AGAGUUUGAUCAUGGCUCAGAAUCAACGCUGGCGGCGUGCCUCAGACAUGCAAGUCGAACGCGAAAGCCCUUCGGGGCAAGUAGAGUGGCGCACGGGUGAGUAACACGUAGGUAACCUACCUUUGGAUUGGGAAUAACAACCGGAAACGGUUGCUAAUACCGAAUAAUGCAGCGGCACCUAAUGGUGACAGUUGUUAAAGCGGGGGAUCGCAAGACCUCGCGUCUGAAGAGGAGCCUGCGGCAGAUUAGCUAGUUGGUAAGGUAAUGGCUUACCAAGGCGAUGAUCUGUAGCCGGCCUGAGAGGGCGGUCGGCCACACUGACACUGACAUACGGGUCAGACUCCUACGGGAGGCAGCAGUCGGGAAUUUUGGGCAAUGGGCGAAAGCCUGACCCAGCAACGCCGCGUGAAGGAUGAAAUCCCUCGGGAUGUAAACUUCGCAAGAACGGGAAGAAUAAGUGAGAGCUAACAUCUCUUACGAUGACGGUACUGUUUGUAAGCUCCGGCUAACUCCGUGCCAGCAGCCGCGGUAAUACGGGGGGAGCAAGCGUUGUUCGGAUUUACUGGGCGUAGAGGGCGCGUAGGCGGCCACCGCAAGUCGACUGUGAAAUCUCCGGGCUUAACCCGGAACGGUCAGCCGAUACUGCGGGGCUAGAGUGCAGAAGGGGCAACUGGAAUUCUCGGUGUAGCGGUGAAAUGCGU